This 449-nucleotide ribosomal RNA is filed under the name uncultured bacterium. RNAcentral's name for it is "SSU rRNA". It matches the Rfam family "Bacterial small subunit ribosomal RNA", at positions 26 to 518 of the family's 1533-position model. The record is from RNAcentral.
AGAACGAACGCUGGCGGCAUGCCUAACACAUGCAAGUCGAACGCCUGUAGCAAUACAGGAGUGGCGCACGGGUGAGUAACGCGUGGGAACCUGCCCUGGAGUGGGGGAUAACCGAGAGAAAUUUCGGCUAAUACCGCAUACGACCUGAGGGUGAAAGAUUUAUCGCUCUAGGAGGGGCCCGCGUCGGAUUAGCUAGUUGGUGGGGUAACGGCCUACCAAGGCUACGAUCCGUAGCUGGUCUGAGAGGAUGAUCAGCCACACUGGGACUGAGACACGGCCCAGACUCCUACGGGAGGCAGCAGUGGGGAAUAUUGGACAAUGGGGGAAACCCUGAUCCAGCAAUGCCGCGUGAGUGAUGAAGGCCUUAGGGUUGUAAAGCUCGUUUCGGCGGGGACGAUGAUGACGGUACCCGCAGAAGAAGCCCCGGCUAACUUCGCGCCAGCAGCCGC